RNAcentral lists this ribosomal RNA (403 nucleotides) under uncultured bacterium. RNAcentral describes it as "bacterial SSU rRNA". It matches the Rfam family "Bacterial small subunit ribosomal RNA", at positions 28 to 391 of the family's 1533-position model. The record is from RNAcentral.
GAUGAACGCUGGCGGCGUGCCUAAUACAUGCAAGUCGAACGCAUUGUGGUUGAAAUGAUAUGAAGAACUUGUUCAGAUUUGAUUUUCAACAUUGCAAUGAGUGGCGAACGGGUGAGUAACACGUGGGAAACCUACCUCUUAGCAGGGGAUAACAUUUGGAAACAAAUGCUAAUACCGUAUAAUAAUUAAAACCGCAUGGUUUUAGUUUAAAAGAUGGUCUUGCUAUCACUAAGAGAUGGUCCCGCGGUGUAUUAGUUAGUUGGUGAGGUAAUGGCUCACCAAGACAAUGAUACAUAGCCGAGUUGAGAGACUGACCGGCCACAAUGGGACUGAGACACGGCCCAUACUCCUACGGGAGGCAGCAGUAGGGAAUCUUCCACAAUGGACGAAAGUCUAGAUGGAG